GAUGAACGCUGGCGGCGUGCCUAAUACAUGCAAGUCGAGCGAACGGACGAGAAGCUUGCCUCUCUGAUGUUAGCGGCGGACGGGUGAGUAACACGUGGAUAACCUACCUAUAAGACUGGGAUAACUUCGGGAAACCGGAGCUAAUACCGGAUAAUAUUUUGAACCGCAUGGUUCAAAAGUGAAAGACGGUCUUGCUGUCACUUAUAGAUGGAUCCGCGCUGCAUUAGCUAGUUGGUAAGGUAACGGCUUACCAAGGCAACGAUGCAUAGCCGACCUGAGAGGGUGAUCGGCCACACUGGAACUGAGACACGGUCCAGACUCCUACGGGAGGAAGCAGUAGGGAAUCUUCCGCAAUGGGCGAAAGCCUGACGGAGCAACGCCGCGUGAGUGAUGAAGGUCUUCGGAUCGUAAAACUCUGUUAUUAGGGAAGAACAUAUGUGUAAGUAACUGUGCACAUCUUGACGGUACCUAAUCAGAAAGCCACGGCUAACUACGUG
This 497-nucleotide ribosomal RNA is filed under the name uncultured bacterium. Its description in RNAcentral is "partial 16S ribosomal RNA". It matches the Rfam family "Bacterial small subunit ribosomal RNA", at positions 28 to 507 of the family's 1533-position model. The record is from RNAcentral.